GGCGGGUAGGAGAGAGGAUAGGCAAUGAAUGGAAAUUAUUCUUCUCUCUCUUGGGCGUAAUUCCUUUUCAUUGUUGAACUUGUACUGGUGCUAUUCUUCCAUUUCUGUUGCAAUUUCUUGUUAUUGGAUUGAUUCCCUAUGAUCUCAUUUGAACUCAUAGGAAGUGCAAUCUGAGAGAGCUCUGUUAUUAAUAUACCAGAAUUCCACUACGUUAUCAGUAUUCUUUUACCUAUGAUUUCCUCACUGUUUCAUACUUCCCCUCCAAUCACCACCAUGGGAGGAACG
This 285-nucleotide long non-coding RNA is filed under the name Vigna radiata. Its description in RNAcentral is "long non-coding RNA (VRAD_LNC009170)". Lineage: Eukaryota; Viridiplantae; Streptophyta; Magnoliopsida; Fabales; Fabaceae. The record is from RNAcentral.